This 29-nucleotide small RNA is filed under the name Bombyx mori (domestic silkworm). Its description in RNAcentral is "ovarian small RNA-29709". The record is from RNAcentral. Lineage: Eukaryota; Metazoa; Arthropoda; Insecta; Lepidoptera; Bombycidae.
UCUCGACUAAGUCGUUCACGAGCGUGCGC